GUGCAACCUCUGUAUUGCACAUCUUCCUGUGUGCUUUUAAAAGAUGCAUAUAAAGAUUUUUACUGUUUAUUUGGCAUGAAGUUGGCAUAAGUUUAGAUGUUUACCUUAGACUUUAUAUGUUUUUGCAACAUGGUCCUUGAACAAUAAUUUUAUGCAAUUAAGUAUUUGGACAGUAAAAAUUAUAAUUUAUCCCUUCUAGUUAUUGAAACUAAUCUUCAAUACAAAAAUUACAUGUGUCUCACUCCUAACUAACUUUUGGUGCCUUUGCUCUUAUCGUGAUCUAAUAUGUUUAGUUUUGAAAUAAGUUGGAUUUUGUUAGUUUGUAGAUUUUGUAAUUUUUUUCAUUUUUGAAAACUCAUAAUGCUUAUUUGGUAUUCAAUUUUUAAUUUUCACUUUCAAUGAUGUAAUAAUAUUUUUCUUUUUAGAGUUAGUUAUUAAUGACAUAUUAUAUUAGUGUAUGAUAAAUGUGGCUCUUUCUAAUUAAUUUGUAAUUUCAGUUGGGCCUAAAUAAGAUUCACUUUAUCUAGUAAUUCCUCAAUGGCAGAAUAUGUACAAUGUCAGCAUGGGUUUUAAUAUUUUUGUGCAUUUGCGUACAAAGUAAUUCCGCUUAAACUCUAAAUUAGAACUAAAAAGAAAUUUAUUUGAUGAAAAGGUGUAGAUUGUCACAAUUUUAUUGUUUGAGUGCUUAAUUU
This 692-nucleotide unclassified non-coding RNA is filed under the name Hevea brasiliensis (rubber tree). Lineage: Eukaryota; Viridiplantae; Streptophyta; Magnoliopsida; Malpighiales; Euphorbiaceae. The record is from RNAcentral.